ACGGGGGGUGCAAGCGUUACUCGGAAUCACUGGGCGUAAAGAGCAUGUAGGCGGAUUAAUAAGUUUGAAGUGAAAUCCUAUAGCUUAACUAUAGAACUGCUUUGAAUACUGUUAAUCUAGAAUGUGGGAGAGGUAGAGGGAAUUUCUGGUGUAGGGGUAAAAUCCGUAGAUAUCAGGAGGAAUACCGGUUGCGUAGGCGAUUUACUGGAACAUUAUUGACGCUGAGGUGCGAAAGCCUGGGGAGCAAAUGG
RNAcentral lists this ribosomal RNA (251 nucleotides) under uncultured prokaryote. RNAcentral describes it as "partial 16S rRNA". It matches the Rfam family "Bacterial small subunit ribosomal RNA", at positions 525 to 775 of the family's 1533-position model. The record is from RNAcentral.